Molecule: ribosomal RNA, 1695 nt
Filed under: Staphylococcus aureus M0566
Lineage: Bacteria; Bacillati; Bacillota; Bacilli; Caryophanales; Staphylococcaceae
Description: bacterial LSU rRNA
Rfam family: Bacterial large subunit ribosomal RNA
Source: RNAcentral
GAGUGAAAUAGAACCUGAAACCGUGUGCUUACAAGUAGUCAGAGCCCGUUAAUGGGUGAUGGCGUGCCUUUUGUAGAAUGAACCGGCGAGUUACGAUUUGAUGCAAGGUUAAGCAGUAAAUGUGGAGCCGUAGCGAAAGCGAGUCUGAAUAGGGCGUUUAGUAUUUGGUCGUAGACCCGAAACCAGGUGAUCUACCCUUGGUCAGGUUGAAGUUCAGGUAACACUGAAUGGAGGACCGAACCGACUUACGUUGAAAAGUGAGCGGAUGAACUGAGGGUAGCGGAGAAAUUCCAAUCGAACCUGGAGAUAGCUGGUUCUCUCCGAAAUAGCUUUAGGGCUAGCCUCAAGUGAUGAUUAUUGGAGGUAGAGCACUGUUUGGACGAGGGGCCCCUCUCGGGUUACCGAAUUCAGACAAACUCCGAAUGCCAAUUAAUUUAACUUGGGAGUCAGAACAUGGGUGAUAAGGUCCGUGUUCGAAAGGGAAACAGCCCAGACCACCAGCUAAGGUCCCAAAAUAUAUGUUAAGUGGAAAAGGAUGUGGCGUUGCCCAGACAACUAGGAUGUUGGCUUAGAAGCAGCCAUCAUUUAAAGAGUGCGUAAUAGCUCACUAGUCGAGUGACACUGCGCCGAAAAUGUACCGGGGCUAAACAUAUUACCGAAGCUGUGGAUUGUCCUUUGGACAAUGGUAGGAGAGCGUUCUAAGGGCGUUGAAGCAUGAUCGUAAGGACAUGUGGAGCGCUUAGAAGUGAGAAUGCCGGUGUGAGUAGCGAAAGACGGGUGAGAAUCCCGUCCACCGAUUGACUAAGGUUUCCAGAGGAAGGCUCGUCCGCUCUGGGUUAGUCGGGUCCUAAGCUGAGGCCGACAGGCGUAGGCGAUGGAUAACAGGUUGAUAUUCCUGUACCACCUAUAAUCGUUUUAAUCGAUGGGGGGACGCAGUAGGAUAGGCGAAGCGUGCGAUUGGAUUGCACGUCUAAGCAGUAAGGCUGAGUAUUAGGCAAAUCCGGUACUCGUUAAGGCUGAGCUGUGAUGGGGAGAAGACAUUGUGUCUUCGAGUCGUUGAUUUCACACUGCCGAGAAAAGCCUCUAGAUAGAAAAUAGGUGCCCGUACCGCAAACCGACACAGGUAGUCAAGAUGAGAAUUCUAAGGUGAGCGAGCGAACUCUCGUUAAGGAACUCGGCAAAAUGACCCCGUAACUUCGGGAGAAGGGGUGCUCUUUAGGGUUAACGCCCAGAAGAGCCGCAGUGAAUAGGCCCAAGCGACUGUUUAUCAAAAACACAGGUCUCUGCUAAACCGUAAGGUGAUGUAUAGGGGCUGACGCCUGCCCGGUGCUGGAAGGUUAAGAGGAGUGGUUAGCUUCUGCGAAGCUACGAAUCGAAGCCCCAGUAAACGGCGGCCGUAACUAUAACGGUCCUAAGGUAGCGAAAUUCCUUGUCGGGUAAGUUCCGACCCGCACGAAAGGCGUAACGAUUUGGGCACUGUCUCAACGAGAGACUCGGUGAAAUCAUAGUACCUGUGAAGAUGCAGGUUACCCGCGACAGGACGGAAAGACCCCGUGGAGCUUUACUGUAGCCUGAUAUUGAAAUUCGGCACAGCUUGUACAGGAUAGGUAGGAGCCUUUGAAACGUGAGCGCUAGCUUACGUGGAGGCGCUGGUGGGAUACUACCCUAGCUGUGUUGGCUUUCUAACCCGCACCA